CUUACCAGACUUUAUAAAACCGUAAAACACACUUCAUUCAAAGUCGACAAAAACUAAAUAAAACUAUCAAAAGCCGUUUUGGUUCGUCUUUCCACUGUUCUAACAAUCACCACUCUGGUUUGGUUGGAAUAAACCCUUAAUUCAACCAUUUACAUGUGAACAUUUUAAAAAUGCAGGCUCUAUACACACCAG
Etheostoma spectabile (orangethroat darter) is the source of this 192-nucleotide long non-coding RNA. RefSeq lists it as uncharacterized. The transcript has 3 exons. The record is from RefSeq and is a predicted model, not a curated record. NCBI's taxonomy places the organism in Eukaryota, Metazoa, Chordata, Actinopteri, Perciformes, Percidae.